RNAcentral lists this ribosomal RNA (484 nucleotides) under uncultured bacterium. RNAcentral's name for it is "partial 16S ribosomal RNA". It matches the Rfam family "Bacterial small subunit ribosomal RNA", at positions 29 to 507 of the family's 1533-position model. The record is from RNAcentral.
AGUGAACGCUGGCGGCAGGCCUAACACAUGCAAGUCGAGCGGCAGCGCGGGGGCAACCCUGGCGGCGAGCGGCGGACGGGUGAGGAAUUCGUCGGAAUCUGCCUUUUUGUGGGGGAUAACGUAGGGAAACUUACGCUAAUACCGCAUACGUCCUACGGGAGAAAGUGGGGGACCGCAAGGCCUCACGCAGAAAGAUGAGCCGACGACCGAUUAGCUAGUUGGUGGGGUAAAGGCCCACCAAGGCGACGAUCGGUAGCUGGUCUGAGAGGAUGAUCAGCCACACUGGGACUGAGACGCGGCCCAGACUCCUACGGGAGGCAGCAGUGGGGAAUAUUGGACAAUGGGCGCAAGCCUGAUCCAGCCAUGCCGCGUGUGUGAAGAAGGCCUUCGGGUUGUAAAGCACUUUUGUCCGGAAAGAAAUCCCUGGAGCUAAUACCUUCGGGGGAUGACGGUACCGGAAGAAUAAGCACCGGCUAACUUCGUG